UUUAUUUCUCUUUCUUUUCUCUUUUCCCCCUCAUUUUAUCUCUUCUCCUCUAGGUGACAUUUGCUCUCCCUUCCCCGCUUCCUUCCCCUCGCUUCCCUGGUUCCUUCUCCGACUUCCCGACGAUCGUCAAGCAACGCCGGAGGACGCUUCCCCCACGAGCCCCGAAUCCAGCAGCAUUGCCGGAACACGAGACCACUAUAGCACGGUGACUCCAUCAAAAUGUGUAUGUUCUUUAGUUGAAAACACAAAUCUUAGCUGAAAUAUAAUCAUGUGUUUGGUAUAGCUUCUAUGCUAGGUAGGUUUACUUUAUUUGUGUCCCACGAAAAGUGUAGUUUAUUUGCGUCCCACGCAAAGUGUAGUUUGAGUCCCACGCAAAGUGUAGUUUGAGUCCCACGAGCAGGUCCGCCUUGAAGAAAACAUUCAGUCAAGAGCAGGUUGUGUUCGAUAGCCCUAUUUCUGAUGAACCUGUUAUUGGCAUCAUCGCUAAAGGGAUGUCCGGCCUUGUAUGUGCUCUGUAUUUGGAGAAAAGCGGAAUCCGGUCGAUAUUUUUUGACACAGUAUUGUAAUUUUGAAACUUCUUUAGUAAAUACAUGUAUUGACAGGAUUAUAUUUUUGUAGAGAAAUCAUGGAUUGAGAGGAAGAUUAGGGUUGGGGCAAAGAUAACUGACUUUGAAUUAUUAAAGCUUGUGGAGAGAAGGAAUGAUGGUGAUGAUGAUGAUUUGAUUGUACCGGUUGGUUGGGACUGCAGGAUAUCUUCCUCUAGAGUCUAUUAAGGAGCUGUAGGUGACGAGUAAAACAAAUGUUUUUGCGUUUGGGAUGUUCUUGACAGAACUUGUAACAGAUAUAUGCUAGCACAUCAAGGGAUAGCUUGCUUGCUGCAGUUCGGGAUGUAUUACAAUCAGAAGGUGAGUGCCCAAUAUAUGUACUACCAAGGAUAACACUAUUUGUUCAUAGAACUGAUCCACCAUGUGACAUAGUCCAUUAUCCUGCUGUUGUUGGGAGGAAAAUGGGUUUGCUUAGAAAUGGUUCUGUGGGAGUUGUUGCUGAAGCUAGAGGGCUUUUGUAGUAUUUAUUGGUGGUGGACUUGGAAAUAUGAAUCUAGUAACUGAAUAAAGGAGAAUGACAUGCUACAGUUAUGCAGACUAAAUUUGUUGUUGUCCUUACAAACA
Impatiens glandulifera is the source of this 1169-nucleotide long non-coding RNA. RefSeq lists it as uncharacterized. Lineage: Eukaryota; Viridiplantae; Streptophyta; Magnoliopsida; Ericales; Balsaminaceae. The transcript is spliced from 4 exons. The record is from RefSeq and is a predicted model, not a curated record.